RNAcentral lists this ribosomal RNA (301 nucleotides) under uncultured bacterium. RNAcentral's name for it is "partial 16S ribosomal RNA". It matches the Rfam family "Bacterial small subunit ribosomal RNA", at positions 509 to 808 of the family's 1533-position model. The record is from RNAcentral.
CAGUACCACGGUAAUACGAAGGGGGCUAGCGUUGUUCGGAAUUACUGGGCGUAAAGCGCACGUAGGCGGAUAUUUAAGUCAGGGGUGAAAUCCCAGAGCUCAACUCUGGAACUGCCUUUGAUACUGGGUAUCUUGAGUAUGGAAGAGGUAAGUGGAAUUCCGAGUGUAGAGGUGAAAUUCGUAGAUAUUCGGAGGAACACCAGUGGCGAAGGCGGCUUACUGGUCCAUUACUGACGCUGAGGUGCGAAAGCGUGGGGAGCAAACAGGAUUAGAUACCCCAGUAGUCCCUGUCUCUUAUACA